Molecule: ribosomal RNA, 460 nt
Filed under: uncultured bacterium
Lineage: Bacteria
Description: partial 16S ribosomal RNA
Rfam family: Bacterial small subunit ribosomal RNA
Source: RNAcentral
CCUACGGGGGGCUGCAGUGAGGAAUAUUGGUCAAUGGGCGUAAGCCUGAACCAGCCAAGUCGCGUGAGGGAUGAAGGUUCUAUGGAUCGUAAACCUCUUUUAUAAGGGAAUAAAGUGUGGGACGUGUCCUGUUUUGUAUGUACCUUAUGAAUAAGGAUCGGCUAACUCCGUGCCAGCAGCCGCGGUAAUACGGAGGAUCCGAGCGUUAUCCGGAUUUAUUGGGUUUAAGGGGGGCGUAGGCGGCCUUUUAAGUCAGCGGUGAAAGUCUGUGGCUCAACCAUAGCAUUGCCGUUGAAACUGGGAGGCUUGAGUAUGGUUGAGGCAGGCGGAAUGCGUGGUGUAGCGGUGAAAUGCGUAGAUAUCACGCAGAACCCCGAUUGCGAAGGCAGCCUGCCAAGCCAUGACUGACGCUGAUGCACGAAAGCGUGGGGAUCAAACAGGAUUAGAUACCCUUGUAGUC